Bos taurus (domestic cattle) is the source of this 427-nucleotide long non-coding RNA. The record is from Ensembl. NCBI's taxonomy places the organism in Eukaryota, Metazoa, Chordata, Mammalia, Artiodactyla, Bovidae.
GCAGAUCAGCCGGCAGGUGGGCCUCAGAGAAACGUGAACUUGGAAGGACAGUCUUGGAAUGGAAAUAGCCUCCCAGCCAGUCUCCCUGUCUUCCGCUGUCACUCCACCUUUCUGCUGUCCUAGGGCUCAGCAGCUCACUUGCGCCCAACUCUUUUGUGAUUCCACAGACUGCAGUCCUCCAGGCUCCUCUGCCCAUGGAAUUUUCCAGGCAAGAGUGCUAGGGAUCCCUUGCCUCAGCCAUGGGAGCAAGACUGCUACAGGAAGAGAGAAUAAGCCCAGGCUAGUCUGCAGAGGAGAACCAAUUCAUCCCAUCUGAGGCCACACUGGAUCCACCAGCCCCCAGUUCAGCCACCAGCUGCCCCUAGAGUAAGCCCAGCUGAGUUCAGACAAGACUGGCCUAAGUCAUCAGAAUUCCCCAUCUAACCUA